Long non-coding RNA from Manis pentadactyla (Chinese pangolin), 1932 nucleotides. RefSeq lists it as uncharacterized. Lineage: Eukaryota; Metazoa; Chordata; Mammalia; Pholidota; Manidae. The transcript is spliced from 3 exons. The record is from RefSeq and is a predicted model, not a curated record.
CUGCCAUUUCAUCAAAUCUCAGGGAGUAGGCAUUGCAUCAGGAAGAGCAGAUUCUCAUCAGGUUCCCUCAGUCUGAUAUCAAAUUUGGUUAUUUCGGACAUCUCAUUGUCUGUGGAUCAGGAGAUGGAUGCCAGUCUAUCAAUUCCUCUCUCAUUUACACCAAAGGAAUUUGAAGUACUAUGUUUCUCAUGGAGGAAAAAUGUGAUUUGAGAAUUCCUUUGCCUAUUCUGGCCCAACAGAAUUCCACUUGAUAAAUCUCUGGGCAGAGUCACAAACCUGUAUUUUUAUUUCUGUAGAUUUUUUUAUCACCAGAAAGUCGUGGGAAGUUGGUUGGGGGGUGGUGGUGAACAGCAGUUCUUUUGUUCCAGUCUUAAAAGGAAGUUGGAAAUCAACUUUUCAAGAUACCUCACUUCGUAUAAAAUCCACCGGAAGUAUGAAUUCUGAGAGCCGUGUCAGCCUGAGGACUCAGAACACCACAACCACGGAGGAGGCUUUCCAGGUGUGAAAUUGAGAAGAGCUGAUCAACAACUUUUUUUACUAAGGGCUUGAGCCACACAGGGAGGAUGAAGAAUUCCUGGAGGAGGGAGACUGCGUGUGUUUAUUGCCCUGUCAGCCCUUCACGACAAAAGACAAAAGUUGCUGUAAUUUGCGAGUUCCCACGCACAUGAUCCAUAUGGACAAUAUCGAGUAUAGGUGGUGAUGAAAAAAAAAGGAUUACCAGAAAUCAAGAUGCCAGCUGCCUUGUGAGAAAUGCGGAGAAACGCUCUCACAGUGAACCUCUGAUUAAACAUCACCAUUCCAGAGCUGGAAGGAAUUUUGAGAUGUUAUCCAUAACCAGAGGAAUAAAGAGCCACCAGCUCUUGACUGAUUCAGGCCUUGUGUUGCGUUGGAUCUUGAGCCUGACUGCUUUUCUUUUCAAGCUCAGCAGUCUCUGUUGCCUUAGCAGGUUUCUCACGGCAAUGCCUGUCUGGGGGACCAUGAUCUCCCUUUUCCUCAGCACAUUUAUUUAUAGCUCAGUUUCAGCACCGUUCUUAGCUUAUGAUCAGUGCCAAUUCUAGUUCAUCUCCACAGGGUCAGACUGAAACCUCUAAAAUGUUCUGCCAGUUGGUUCCUGGUUGUUUUUCUGGAAGCUUGCAGCUCUGAAAGCUUUGUACCUCAGAAACAUGCCCUGUAUCCAAGAAACACACCCCUUGAAAGAAGGGCAAAAUGAUAGAGAGUCAGCACAUCCCUGGGUGGGCUGGCAAACGGGGGUCUGUUGAGGGGCACUGUGGGUCCCUUAUGGCCCUGCCACAUGCUGCCAUAUGGUUUGACCGGUGCUACCUGCCAGUCUCACACCAGUCUUUGAUGGCAAGAUGGCAACGGGACCGCAGUGAGGGCUGACUGGAGAAUAAAUGCAAGUAGGAUGGAUGGUUUCCACAGGCCUUGAGAAACAGCACUCAAGGACAUGCCCAAACCACCCCAGCAAAGGGACACGACAUUGCUAGAUGAGAGUGAGGAAUGACAGCACAGUGGGUAGCCUCAAACGGCCUGGCUCAUUCUGAGUAAUGGGACAAGGCAACCAUGGGUAGGUCAUGAAUAGCAGGAGCCCCAGAAAAUGGCCAUUUGGUUCCGAAACAAUGGAGACAUAUCACCACCAACAAAACGGAAGGAAUAUGAAGAGCCCCUUCCAUCUUCCUGGCGGGACAUUCAGGACAGCAGCCCAUCCAGCUGACACAGAAGCCUCCAAUCUAAUGAAAGCUCAACUAUGUUUAUAUAAUUAUAAUAUGAAUAAUAGGAAAGAGGUGGGCGGGUGAAAGCUUAACAAGUGAACCACUCCUAAGCCUCAGUGCCCUUGAAUUGAUGGAAGAGGCAGCAGUUUAACCUCAGGCUGGUACCUACCAGUCUGUGAGUGAACCUUUCAUUUCCUCUGAGUAGGAAAGAAAACCUAGAAGA